CCACCCAAGCUGCCCCCAAAUUGGCCUCGAAUUGCCCCCAAAUCCCUCACAUUUCCCCCAAAUUGCCCCAAAUCCCCCCAAAUUGUCCCCAAAUGCCCUAAAUCCUCCGAAUCUCCCAAAUCCAUUAAAGCGCCCCAAAUCCUCCAAAAUGCCCCAAAUCCCCCCAAAUUCCCCCCAAAUUCCCAAUUAUUCCAACCCCCUCCCAGACUCCCCCAUAUCCCCCCAAAGCGCCCCAAAUUCCCCCCGAUUUGCCCCAAACCGGCCCCGAAUCGCCCCCCCCAGCCCCCUCCUGCCCACCCCAAAGCACCGCAGACCCAAAAUCGCGGGAUUUCACCCCAAAACGGACCCUGAGGAGGAAGGAGUGGUCCCGUCCCGGCUCCGUGGUGCUGGGUGAGGCCGCCAGCGCUGAGCACGGCACCGACAGCUGCGGCCGCAGCGCCUGCGGGGCCAGAAAUUGGGGUGAGAAACGCCAAAAUCGGGAAAAGGAGGGGAAAACGGGGAGGAAAUGGGGAAAUUGGGAAGGAAAUGGGGGGAAAUGAGGGGGGGAAAUGGGGAGGAAAUGGGGAAAUUGGGAAAGAAAUGGGGGGGGGAAAUGGGGAAAUUGGGAAAGAAAUGGGGGGAAAUGGGGAAAUUGGGAAAGAAAUGGGGGGAAAUGGGGGGAUAUGGGGAAAUUGGGAAACGAAUAGGGAGAAAUGGGGGGAAAUGGGACUGACAAUGGGACAAGAAAUGGGGUGGAAAUGGGGCAAGAAAUGGGGCAGGAAAUGGGAUGGAAAUGGAGCAAAAAAUGGGGCAGGAAAUGGGAUGGAAAUGGGUCUGAAAAUGGGACCUGAAACAGACUGGAAAUGGGGCAGGAAAUGGGGCAGGAAAUGGGAUGGAAAUAGGGCAGGAAACAGGCCAAGAAAUGGGAUGGAAAUGAGCCAGGAAAUGGGGCUGGAAAUGGGGCAGGAAAUGGGAAGGAAAUGGGGUGGGAAAUGGGGCAGGAAACAGGCCAGGAAAUUGGAUGGAAAUAGGCCAGGAAAUGGGAUGGAAAUAGGGCAGGAAAUGGGAAGGAAAUGGACCAGGAAAUGGGAUAGAAAUGGGCCAGAAAAUGGGCCAGGAAAUGGGGCAGGAAAUGGGAUGAAAAUGGGCCAGGAAAUGGGAUGGAAAUGGGGCAGGAAACAGGCCAGGAAGUGGAAUGGAAAUGGGGCAGGAAAUGGGGUGGAAAUGGGGCAGGAAAUGGGACAGGAAAUGGGCUGGAAACGGGGCAGGAAAUGGGAUGGAAAUGGGGCAGGAAACAGGCCAGGAAGUGGAAUGGAAAUGGGCAAGGAAAUGGGAUGGAAACGGGGCAGGAAACAGGCCAGGAAAUGGGAUGGAAAUGGGGCAGGAAACGGGAUGGA
RNAcentral lists this long non-coding RNA (1376 nucleotides) under Numida meleagris (helmeted guineafowl). RNAcentral's name for it is "lncRNA (ENSNMEG00000001946.1)". The record is from RNAcentral. Lineage: Eukaryota; Metazoa; Chordata; Aves; Galliformes; Numididae.